This 98-nucleotide signal recognition particle RNA is filed under the name Bryobacterales bacterium. Its description in RNAcentral is "signal recognition particle sRNA small type". It matches the Rfam family "Bacterial small signal recognition particle RNA". From Rfam's summary of the family: The signal recognition particle (SRP) is a universally conserved ribonucleoprotein involved in the co-translational targeting of proteins to membranes. Archaeal SRP consists of a 7S RNA and homologues of the eukaryotic SRP19 and SRP54 proteins. In most bacteria, the SRP consists of a 4.5S RNA and the Ffh protein (a homologue of the eukaryotic SRP54 protein). The record is from RNAcentral. Lineage: Bacteria; Pseudomonadati; Acidobacteriota; Terriglobia; Bryobacterales.
CUCCGGGCUCCGUGCAAUGGGCGGCUGCAAACCCCGCCAGGUCCGGAAGGAAGCAACGGUAGUGGUUUAGCUUGUGUGCCGCGGAUCACCCGGGGUCU